Sarcophilus harrisii (Tasmanian devil) is the source of this 782-nucleotide long non-coding RNA. RefSeq lists it as uncharacterized. The transcript has 3 exons. NCBI's taxonomy places the organism in Eukaryota, Metazoa, Chordata, Mammalia, Dasyuromorphia, Dasyuridae. The record is from RefSeq and is a predicted model, not a curated record.
CCAGAUGAAAGGUGAUGAGGACCUGAGGCAGAUCAGAGGCUAUGUGGCUAGAGAGUAGGAAAUAGAUGCAAGGGAUGUUGUGAAGGUAUAAUAGACAAGACUUGGAAAUGGACUGAUUAUGGGAAGAAGGAGAGGUGAUGGAGUCCUUGGACGUCAUGUUUCCCAAGAUGGCUCUUCUCCACUGAACAUCUCUUUUCAAUCGCCCUCCUCAUUUUCAUCCUGUGAUCCUAUCUGCAUUCAUUUCAGAGCUCAUAAGAUGCUGUAUCAAAUGUUUUGCUAAAAUCCAAAUGCAUCCCAUCCAUUACCUCAAAUUCACCACUAAUCUCAUAAUUCAAUAAAACAAGCAAUCGGAUCUGCUUGGUGUGAUUGGAGCUCACUCAAGAAGUCCCGGCUGCUUAUAUUAUCACUCAAUGAUGCUUCAAGGGUACCACCUUAGUCUGCAGCUGGUCUCCAAUGCCUGGGAUGCACUUCUUUCUCACCUCCACUUUUGGAAUCCCUAAUUUUCUUCAAAGCUUAGUUCAGGCAACACCUACCUUUUACAUGAAUACUUCAAUGAUGUCUCAAGCUGUCAGUGGUCACUAGCCUGCAGUUCCUCCAAAUUGUUUUGUAUUUACUUGAGAUAUGCAAACAUACAAAAAUAAAACCUCUCUGGGCUACAGACCAACCCACUCACAGGUUAGCCAGUGUGAGUACCCAAUGGAGGAGGAGGGCAACUAUUCCAGGGCUCAAUGCAAUCUAUGGGUCUGCCUGCUUUAAAAAUAUAUGUAAUUCAUGAGCCCCCA